RNAcentral lists this transfer RNA (65 nucleotides) under Stylosomus ilicicola. RNAcentral describes it as "tRNA-Gly". The record is from RNAcentral. Lineage: Eukaryota; Metazoa; Arthropoda; Insecta; Coleoptera; Chrysomelidae.
AUUUAUAUAAUAUAAGUAAUUAUAUUUGACUUCCAAUCAAAUUAUCUAGAAAUCUAGUAUAAAUA